UUAAAUGAGGUACAAACAAAAUACGUGGUGCAGAUGAAAAAAACGCGCUGCAAGAAACAAAGACAAAUGCAUCAUCAUCAAAUGCGCUGCAAAUAGAGAAACGAUGCAAAGCGCGAAACGAUGAAAACCAAGAAAACACCUGCAAAAGAAAAACGCUGCAUAAAGAGUCGCCACAACGGAAGUGCUCCAAACCUGCAGGGGGCGCUCAGUGUAACAGCUCAAUGGAGAGACACACCGGCUGGACAGAGAGAAAGGAUCUGCCUUUGAGAGACAGAAAACAGCUGACUGACGAUAAACUACAGCGGGGACUAAUGAUUGUUACGACUCCUGUAUGAGGACACAACUUACUGCUGGGGCCACAGAACUGUUGGCUGAUGAGACACUCAUGAUUCAUGAAAUGGGUCAAAUGCAGAUGACAAAGUAAAGCCCACACUGCACUGGAGGUGCUGAACCAGACUCCUGCCACAGAUUAGGACCUGACUUUGAACCUAUCAGACAUAAGGCCCAUUCUGCUCUUCCUCCUCCAGAAGAUGAGAGAUACAUUAGACUGAGUGGCCCAAGUACAUUGGUUCAUGUCUUCACUGUCCAUGUCCAGACUCACUGAGGAGGAGGUCGUCCAGACUGCAGCACAUCUGUAGGGUCUCUGGUUGCAUCAGGCCUUCCUCCUGCUGUCUCUAAUGUGUGUUAAUAGUGAUGUGUCCUUAAAGUUUAGGUUUAACUUCUAAUUUCUUGCACAAGUAAAACAGUAAAAUGGUGGUUCCUUUUCAUCUUAGCUGAGGAGCACCUAAACAACUUCAUCACUG
Molecule: long non-coding RNA, 803 nt
Organism: Boleophthalmus pectinirostris (great blue-spotted mudskipper)
Lineage: Eukaryota; Metazoa; Chordata; Actinopteri; Gobiiformes; Gobiidae
Exons: 3
Source: RefSeq, a predicted model, not a curated record